GAUGAACGCUAGCGGCGCGCCUAAUGCAUGCAAGUCGAACGGUCCAAUCCUAGCUUGCUGGGGUUAGAUAGUGGCAAACGGCUGAGUAAUGCACAGGUGACCUAUCCUCUAGUGGGGAAUAACCCCGAGAAAUCGGGGCUAAUACCGCAUGAAUUCCCCUGAUUGGUAUUGGGGGAGGAAAGCCUACGGGCGCUUGAGGAGGGGCUUGUGUCCUAUCAGGUAGUUGGCAGGGUAAGAGCCUACCAAGCCAGAGACGGGUAGCUGGUCUGAGAGGAUGGUCAGCCAGACGGGGACUGAGACACGGCCCCGACUCCUACGGGAGGCAGCAGCAGGGGAUAUUGCGCAAUGGGCGAAAGCCUGACGCAGCGACGCCGCGUGGGGGAAGAAAGCCUUCGGGUUGUAAACCCCUUUUCUCAGGGAAGAAUAAUGACGGUACCUGAGGAAUAAGCCUCGGCUAACUACGUG
RNAcentral lists this ribosomal RNA (465 nucleotides) under uncultured bacterium. RNAcentral describes it as "bacterial SSU rRNA". It matches the Rfam family "Bacterial small subunit ribosomal RNA", at positions 28 to 507 of the family's 1533-position model. The record is from RNAcentral.